This 297-nucleotide long non-coding RNA is filed under the name Homo sapiens (human). RNAcentral's name for it is "long non-coding RNA NONHSAT007044.2". Lineage: Eukaryota; Metazoa; Chordata; Mammalia; Primates; Hominidae. The record is from RNAcentral.
GGCCUCAUAUCCAUGAUUGACCCUCCCCGAGCUGCAGUGCCUGAUGCUGUGAGCAAGUGUCGCAGUGCAGGAAUUAAGUGAUCAUGGUAACAGGAGAUCAUCCCAUUACAGCUAAGGCCAUUGCCAAGGGUGUGGGCAUCAUCUCAGAAGGCACUGAGACGGCAGAGGAAGUCGCUGCCCGGCUUAAGAUCCCUAUCAGCAAGGUCGAUGCCAGGCUGCCAAAGCCAUUGUGGUGCAUGGUGCAGAACUGAAGGACAUACAGUCCAAGCAGCUUGAUCAGAUCCUCCAGAACCACCC